RNAcentral lists this ribosomal RNA (449 nucleotides) under uncultured bacterium. RNAcentral's name for it is "bacterial SSU rRNA". It matches the Rfam family "Bacterial small subunit ribosomal RNA", at positions 29 to 520 of the family's 1533-position model. The record is from RNAcentral.
AACGAACGCUGGCGGCAUGCCUAACACAUGCAAGUCGAACGAAGUCUUCGGACUUAGUGGCGCACGGGUGCGUAACGCGUGGGAAUCUGCCCUUGGGUGCGGAAUAACUUCUCGAAAGGGAUGCUAAUACCGCAUAAUGUCGUAAGACCAAAGAUUUAUCGCCCAAGGAUGAGCCCGCGUAAGAUUAGCUAGUUGGUGGGGUAAAAAGCCUACCAAGGCGACGAUCUUUAGCUGGUCUGAGAGGAUGAUCAGCCACACUGGGACUGAGACACGGCCCAGACUCCUACGGGAGGCAGCAGUGGGGAAUAUUGGACAAUGGCGAAAGCCUGAUCCAGCAAUGCCGCGUGAGUGAUGAAGGCCCUUAGGGUUGUAAAGCUCUUUUACCCGGGAUGAUAAAUGACAGUACCGGGAGAAUAAGCUCCGGCUAAACUCCGUGCCAGCAGCCGCGG